This 255-nucleotide ribosomal RNA is filed under the name uncultured bacterium. RNAcentral's name for it is "partial 16S ribosomal RNA". It matches the Rfam family "Bacterial small subunit ribosomal RNA", at positions 524 to 778 of the family's 1533-position model. The record is from RNAcentral.
UACGGAGGGAGCAAGCGUUACUCGGAAUUAUUGGGCGUAAAGGGCGCGUAGGCGGCCUGCUAAGUCGAACGUGAAAUCCCUGGGCUCAACCCAGGAACUGCGUCCGAUACUGGUUGGCUUGAAUCCGGGAGAGGGACGUGGAAUUCCAGGUGUAGCGGUGAAAUGCGUAGAUAUCUGGAGGAACACCGGUGGCGAAGGCGACGUCCUGGACCGGCAUUGACGCUGAGGCGCGAAAGCCAGGGGAGCAAAGCGGGG